This 305-nucleotide ribosomal RNA is filed under the name uncultured bacterium. RNAcentral describes it as "bacterial SSU rRNA". It matches the Rfam family "Bacterial small subunit ribosomal RNA", at positions 335 to 655 of the family's 1533-position model. The record is from RNAcentral.
UCCCUACGGGGCGCAGCAGUGGGGAAUAUUGCACAAUGGGCGAAAGCCUGAUGCAGCAACGCCGCGUGAACGAAGAAGGCUCUUGGGUCGUAAAGUUCUGUUCUGAGGGAAGAAGAAAUUGACAGUACCUCAGGAGGAAGCUCCGGCUAACUAUGUGCCAGCAGCCGCGGUAAUACAUAGGGAGCAAGCGUUAUCCGGAUUUAUUGGGUGUAAAGGGUGCGUAGACGGGAAAUUAAGUUAGUUGUGAAAUCCCUCGGCUUAACUGAGGAACUGCAACUAAAACUGGUUUUCUUGAGUACUGGAGA